This 397-nucleotide ribosomal RNA is filed under the name uncultured bacterium. Its description in RNAcentral is "partial 16S ribosomal RNA". It matches the Rfam family "Bacterial small subunit ribosomal RNA", at positions 523 to 918 of the family's 1533-position model. The record is from RNAcentral.
AUACGUAGGUGACAAGCGUUAUCCGGAUUUACUGGGCGUAAAGGGCGUGUAGGCGGUCUUGCAAGUCAGAAGUGAAAUUCCUGGGCUCAACUCGGGCGCUGCUUCUGAAACUGCAGGACUUGAGUGCUGGAGGGGAUAGCGGAAUUCCUAGUGGAGCGGUAAAAUGCGCAGAUAUUAGGAAGAACACCGGUGGCGAAGGCGGCUAUCUGGACAGUAACUGACGCUGAGGCGCGAAAGCGGGGGGAGCAAACAGGAUUAGAUACCCUGUUAGUCCACGCCGUAAACGAUGAAUACUAGGUGUAGGGGGUAUCGACUCCCUCUGUGCCGCAGUUAACACAAUAAGUAUUCCGCCUGGGGAGUACGGCCGCAAGGUUGAAACUCAAAUGAAUUGACGGGG